CAAAGAUUUGGUCCUAACCUUACUGUUACUUUUUGCUAAAUUUACACAUGCAAGUAUCAGCAUACCAGUGAAAAUACCCCAACAAUCUAACCAGACAAAAGGAGUUGGUAUCAGGCACACCAUGAUAGCCCAAAACACCUAGCCCCUGCCACACCCCCAAGGGUACCUCAGCAGUGAUAAAAAUUAAGCAAUAAGCACAAGCUUGACUUAGUUAUAGCAAACAGAGUUGGUCAAUCUCGUGCCAGCCACCGCGGUUAUACAAGAAACCCAAACUAACAGAAAACCGGCGUAAAAUGUGACUAAAAUUAUAAUCUUAAAAAUUUAAGGAGAACCCAAUACUUAACUGUCAUACGCAAAAGUAUAUAUUAGCCCACUAUGAAAAUAACCUUAAUGCAGCAGAACCAGUUGAACUCACGAUCGCUAAGACACAAACUGGGAUUAGAUACCCCACUAUGCUUAGCCCUAAACCCAGAUAUUUCAACACACAAAAAUAUCCGCCAGAGAACUACGAGCUAGACGCUUAAAACUCUAAGGACUUGGCGGUACCUCAAACCCUCCUAGAGGAGCCUGUUCUAUAAUCGAUAAUCCACGAUCUACCCGACCACCUCUUGCCAAUACCGCCUAUAUACCACCGUCACCAGCUUACCCUAUGAAGGACAUAAAAGUAAGCAAAAUAGCCAACAGCUAACAAGUCAGGUCAAGGUGUAGCUAACUGAGAUGGAAGAAAUGGGCUACAUUUUCUACACUAGAAAUUAAACCACGGAAAGGAACUAUGAAACAAGUCCCAUAAGCAGGAUUUAGCAGUAAACUGGGAUCAGAAUACCCAAUUUAAGCCGGUCCUGAGGUGCGCACACACCGCCCGUCACCCUCCUCAAACAGCCUACCACAACCCCUAAAUAAAUCACAAUAAUACAAAUAGAUGAGGCAAGUCGUAACAAGGUAAGUACACCGGAAGGUGUACUUGGAACAUU
RNAcentral lists this non-coding RNA (971 nucleotides) under Manouria impressa. RNAcentral's name for it is "12S ribosomal RNA". It matches the Rfam family "Bacterial small subunit ribosomal RNA". Lineage: Eukaryota; Metazoa; Chordata; Testudines; Testudinidae. The record is from RNAcentral.